GGUGAGGUGAUUAGGCGGGACAUGGAACAGUUACAGCUUACCGAGGACAUGACCCUAGAUAGGAAGGUCUGGAAGACGCGAAUUACGGCAGAGGAUUAGGGCCUGUUCGGGUCGCUAAUGUAGGGAGGUAAUUGGUGGGGGUGUAUUCCUGGUAUGAUUCCGUAUUCAAUGUUCUGUUCCGUGUUCCGUGUUCUAUGUUUGUUACGAAUCUGUGUGCUUUCCUCUGCUUUAUAUUCCUGCAUUCCUGUUUUACUCUGUUUUAUAUUCCUUAUGGCUGCAGUAUCUAUGUUAUGUCAUCUGCUUCUGUGCUGUACUAUGUGUUUGUUUGAUAUCUCGUAACUUGAGCCGGGGGUCUUUCGGAAACAGCCUUUCUACUUCAUCAGAGGUAGAGGUAUGGACUGCGUACAUCUUACCCCCCCCAGACCCCACAAAGUGGGAAUACACUGGGUUUGUUGUUGUUGUUGUUGUUGUUGC
RNAcentral lists this long non-coding RNA (474 nucleotides) under Capsicum annuum. RNAcentral's name for it is "long non-coding RNA (CANN_LNC002894)". The record is from RNAcentral. Lineage: Eukaryota; Viridiplantae; Streptophyta; Magnoliopsida; Solanales; Solanaceae.